UUGGGACAAUUUAUUAUGAAGAGCAAAAAUUUUUAGCAAGUUGGGACAAUUCAUUUUUGAAGAGCAACAAUGCUCAGAAACGUGUUACUUUGGACUACUCCUUUGUGAAAGCUCUCGGCCAACUAUCAUGUUUUGUUAUUGUUCAAGAUUUCAACAAAAAAAUUAAGAAAUCAGGAGUAUAAAUUUAUAUUUUCUUUCAUUUAUUGAGGAAAUCAUUCGUAAGGAAUUCGAGGACUCGGGAAACGUAUAUAACUCCAUCAACAAGGUACAGAUAGACAGAUUGGUGCGCCUCCCAGUAGGAUGCCAGAGUCCAGCAGUGAUUGUCACACUCCGCUUCUCCGGAGUUGUUUGUCAAAGUCAUUGAGUAGGAGACAUGCAUGCAUAUAUACAUAUAUGGUUAUGGGUGUGUCGGGGCCCUGUCCCGACCAGUUGACGCAUUGUAGUACUCUUAGAAGCUUACAGACUAUCAGUCAGUGUACAUAUGUUGUGUUUGGCCUUGCCGGACUUCUGACUAGUUAUCUUUCUUGGUUGUGGCCUUGUCGGCCCUAGUUAUGCAUAUAUGUGUUGUUGGGCCUUUUCUGCUUGCAAGUUGUCAUGAUAUACUUCUUACAAUUAUUAUUCAGCGGCCUUGUCGGCCUAUGAUUCGUAUUACAGAGUUUAGAUAUCACAGUUGGUUCGCUCGGCCCUUCGGGUGCUGGGUGCCGGCCACACCCCCCAAGGUUGGGGUGUACCAAUAUAUAUAUAUAUAUAUAUAUAUAUAUUCAUGUUCAAGUUAUACAUUCCUUAAUGUUAGAUGAUGCUCAUGUUUAUGUUCAGCUUACAACUUACAGUUUCAGUUCAAUUAUUUCAUGUGUCGUAUUUAUUUCAUUCAGUUGUUUUACAUACCAGUACAAUUCAAGUGUAUUGACGUCCCCAUUUUUUGCUUGGGGGCCUGCAUGUCACGAUGCAGAUUUACAGGACGACAGAUCAGCUCGUUAGGACUUUGCACGUAUCAGCUAUUAGUGAGCCCAUCUCAUUUGGGGUUUUAUCUCUAUUUAUUUUUAUUUCAGUUAUGCAGUUAAGGUAUGUCGGGAGCCUUGUCCCGGUAAACAGUUUAGCAGUCAGACUCAUGUCAAAGGUUUCAUAGACUAGAUUAGUUCAGUUAUGCCAUGUCAGAUGUUUAGAGUCGUAUAGCCAGUAUUGGCUCAGCGUUUAUUAU
Molecule: long non-coding RNA, 1198 nt
Organism: Lycium barbarum (goji berry)
Lineage: Eukaryota; Viridiplantae; Streptophyta; Magnoliopsida; Solanales; Solanaceae
Exons: 3
Source: RefSeq, a predicted model, not a curated record